GUCCACGCCCUAAACUAUGUCAACUGGUUGUCGGGGAAGCAAUUCCUUGGUAACGAAGCUAACGCGUGAAGUUGACCGCCUGGGGAGUACGGCCGCAAGGUUAAAACUCAAAGGAAUUGACGGGGACCCGCACAAGCGGUGGAUUAUGUGGAUUAAUUCGAUGCAACGCGAAAAACCUUACCUACCCUUGACAUGUACGGAAUCCCCCAGAGACGGGGGAGUGCCCGAAAGGGAACCGUAACACAGGUGCUGCAUGGCUGUCGU
Molecule: ribosomal RNA, 264 nt
Filed under: uncultured bacterium
Lineage: Bacteria
Description: partial 16S ribosomal RNA
Rfam family: Bacterial small subunit ribosomal RNA
Source: RNAcentral